Long non-coding RNA from Pezoporus occidentalis (night parrot), 1850 nucleotides. RefSeq lists it as uncharacterized. The record is from RefSeq and is a predicted model, not a curated record. NCBI's taxonomy places the organism in Eukaryota, Metazoa, Chordata, Aves, Psittaciformes, Psittacidae. The transcript is spliced from 3 exons.
UGAAGCAGGAAGAUGUUACACUGGGUUCAUCAGCUUGCUGUUAGCUCCUGUUCCAUGCCAGCAGGCUGCUCGUGUCAUCUUGGCUCAGUCCAGUGGGCAGGACCUUCCUUCCCCAUGCUUCCCACCCACUGACCUAAAAGUGUCCCUGUGGAGGGCCCUAUCCUUAAGAACCUGACAGAUCAUCAGCCCUGCCCUGAACCGGUUCCAGGAUCUGCAUCCUGGGAUCACAUGCCAGUGCUGAGAGGCUCCAGUGAUCCUGCCCUGCAGGAAGCGUCCCUGCAGCUGACCCAGCUGAGCACCAGCCCCACGGCUCUGCAGGGAAGCUGGUGACAUGAUUAAUAAUGCAGAGCAGCCUUUUGUCAAGUGCCACUCUGGCUCUCCAGGAAGAGAAGUGCUGCAUUCCAGGGCAUCAAUAAUUCAGCCAAAGGUUGGGUUUCCUCUGGGAGGCUUGGCUGGCCAGCAGGAAUGCUGGAUGCAUUAUCAAGGCCCAUGGGGGCAAGCAGGCUGAGCAGCACUUGGGUGACAGCCCCAAGAGAAACAAGACUGUGCUGGGCUGCAGUUAGGGCAGCUGCCUGCAUUCACACCUCCCCUUUCCCUAAGAGAGUUGGUAGAGACACUAGUGGCACAUCAGGAGGGUCAGCAAGUAGAGUUGAGCAGGAUGGGUCCCUCUGUAGCUACAGCAUCAAAAAGGCUCUGCCUAUAGCCCUAGUGACUUAAAGCCAUCAAGGUCAGGCUGUAGAACAGCACAUGAAUUGUUUUCUUUGCUAAAAGCCCCAUAAAAGUGAGUGCACUAAAACCCCAGUGCUCCCACUGAGCUAUGCCAACACCACAGCUGCUUUGCACAAUGCAGCACAAAUCGACUUGUAUCUCUUCUAAGCUUGUGUGAUUUUUGCAUCCCUGUCCCCUCCAGCUGGCCCAGGCUGUAUGUGACCUCUGCCAGGGUAGCUGCAGCCCCCUUGCAGAGAAUCUGGUGGCAGAGUUCAGGCCCUUGUACCACUUGCAGGGUCCUUAGUAAUGUUCCAGGUGGACAUCACUUACGAUUUUCCACCUUACAUCACAAAGAUCAAACCAGGACCAGGAGUCUUAAACCAGGAAGAGUUUCCUUCAUCUGCCACUAGAUUUGGGUUGUUGGAUUUUCUGAAGCCCCCAAACAGUUCAAAAUGCUCAGGCUAUGAUAACAUUUGUUCUUUGGGUGAUCAGAGGCAUGACAGAAUUAGUUGAGGCAAAUCUACCUCCCGCCUUGUACAGAAGCCACAGCUGCUCAGUCAGCAUCUAAAAACUACCUGAAUUUCAGCAGCUCUGGACAGGAUACAGGGCACGCUUCAAGUCUUUGGUCACCAGGAGUCAGGAGAGCUAGGCUGUGAGCCAAGUGAAACUGUGCUAGAGGACAGAAGGAAGCUGUAAACAGGCCAGCUUGCUUUAACUCAUGAGCAAGACAUUUAGGAGAGGAAAAAGAUACUGCUGUGGUGGGUUUACUUUCUCUGGAUUUCAGGUGCCUUCCACGCUGCUCUGUCACUCACCUCCUCAGCAGGGCAGGGGGGAAGAAAAGAAGAUGGGAAAACCCCUCAUAUAUCAAGAUAAAAGCGAGUUUGGUAAAGCAAAAGCAAAGGUCAUGUGCAGAAGCAAAGGAAAACAAGAGAUCUGAUAGUCUACUUCCCACCAACAGGCCAUGUCUGGCCACUUCCUGGGACACAGGGCAGUUGCUCCAGAAGACACACAUCAUAAAUAACCAAUGCUCCUCCUUUCUCUUAGCUUUGAUUGCUGAGCAGACAUCAUAUGGUAUGGAAUAUCCCUUUGGUUAGCUGGGGUCUGCUGAUCUGGCUAUGCCCUUCCCCAGGAUCUUGUCUACC